GACGAACGCUGGCGGCGCGCCUAACACAUGCAAGUCGAACGGAACUGACAGAAGCUUGCUUUUCUUAGCUUAGUGGCGAACGGGUAAGUAACGCGUGAGUCACCUGCGCUGGGCUGGGGGACAACAGUUGGGACCGACUGCUAAUACCGCAUAAGCCCACGAUCCGGCAUCGGGUUGAGGGAAAAGGAUUUAUUGGCUUCAGGAUGGACUCGCGUCCAAUUAGCUAGUUGGUGAGGUAACGGCCCACCAAGGCGAGGAGUGGUAGCCGGACUGAGAGGUUGAACGGCCACAUUGGGACUGAGGCGCGGCCCCGACUCCGACGGGAGGCAGCAGUGGGGGAUAUUGCACCAUGGGGGAAACCCUGAUGCAGCGACGCCGCGUGGAGGAAGCAGGUUUUCGGAUUGUAAACUCCUGUCGUUAGGGACGAUAAUGACGGUACCUAACAAGAAAGCACCGGCUAACUACGUG
RNAcentral lists this ribosomal RNA (468 nucleotides) under uncultured bacterium. RNAcentral describes it as "partial 16S ribosomal RNA". It matches the Rfam family "Bacterial small subunit ribosomal RNA", at positions 28 to 507 of the family's 1533-position model. The record is from RNAcentral.